AUACGGAGGAUCCGAGCGUUAUCCGGAUUUAUUGGGUUUAAAGGGUGCGUAGGCGGCCUUUUAAGUCAGCGGUGAAAGUCUGUGGCUCAACCAUAGAAUUGCCGUUGAAACUGGGAGGCUUGAGUAUGUUUGAGGCAGGCGGAAUGCGUGGUGUGGCGGUGGAAUGCUUAGAUAUCACGCAGAACCCCGAUUGCGAAGGCAGCCUGCCAAGCCAUGACUGACGCUGAUGCACGAAAGCGUGGGGAUCAAACAGGAUUAGAUACCCUGGUAGUCCACGCAGUAAACGAUGAUCACUAGCUGUUUGCGAUACAGUGUAAGCGGCACAGCGAAAGCGUUAAGUGACCCACCUGGGGAGUACGCCGGCAACGGUGAAACUCAAAUGAAUUGACGGGG
This 393-nucleotide ribosomal RNA is filed under the name uncultured bacterium. RNAcentral's name for it is "partial 16S ribosomal RNA". It matches the Rfam family "Bacterial small subunit ribosomal RNA", at positions 523 to 918 of the family's 1533-position model. The record is from RNAcentral.